AUACUACUACCGUAUACUAAGAGAUAAAAUAUACGAGUAUAACGAUGGUAUGUAGAAAGUAUUUAAGCGUAUUACCGCUCUAUCUUCUUUUUUAGCUCAGUGAAACAAAAAUUCUCAAAAGAAAAGAACAACAAAAAAUUCACCUGAAAAGAAAAGAAAAAGAGAAGAACCAAUUGUCGUAGAAAUAGCCGGAAAAAGUUCAGCGAUGCAACGUGGAAGUGGCGGAGGCAGUGGAUUAUCCCGGUACCGUUCAGCUCCGGCGACAUGGUUAGAAGCACUUCUCGAAUCCGACACUGAAAACGAAGUGGUUCUUAACCCUUCUUCUCCCAUUUUACACUCACCCAAUAAACCACCACCCCACCCAUCAACUACUCAGCAGCAGCUUCCGGAGCUUGUUAAACCGGAAACUAGGUUCACUGGCGAUCCGGGUCUGUUUGAAUCCGGCGGUAGUAGUAAUUUUCUCCGGCAGCAGAGUUCUCCGGCGGAGUUUCUUUCACAUAUUAACUCAGAUGGUUACUUCUCAAGCUAUGGAAUUCCCUCCAGUUUGAACUAUAUUUCUCAGCCAAUUAAGCGGCCCAGAGAAGAUGAUUCCGAAAGUUCGCCCCGAAAAUUAUCAGCCCACUUGAAGGGAGAGCCAAGUGGACAGUUACGUGGUUCUGGUGGAUCACUGGAUGCUGAAAUGGAGAAGCUCAUGGAUGAUUUGGUGCCUUGUAAGGUUCGAGCAAAGCGUGGUUGUGCUACCCAUCCUCGCAGCAUUGCUGAGCGAGUUCGUCGAACGCGCAUAAGUGACAGAAUAAGGAAGCUUCAGGAACUGGUGCCAAGUAUGGACAAGCUCAUGCAAUUCAUGAUUGGCACUGACUUUUGCUAUCCACAGCAAACCAACACUGCCGACAUGUUGGAAGAAGCAGUUGAAUAUGUCAAGUUUCUGCAGAAACAGAUUCAGGAGCUUACGGAGCAUCAGAAGAAAUGCACGUGUUCAGAGAAGGAUCAAUAAUUUGAAGAAGAGAGUUCCACUAGAGUAUAUAGGCAAUAGUUUGCUCAGAUGUAUGCGCUUUGGACAUGUGUAUUGCAGGGACCAAUUGCCAGCUAUAUUCACUCCUUGUCCCGGUGAGUAACCUUCUUUUCCUGUUUAAAAAAACAGAAUAAAAGUAUUACAAAAUUGAUUUUAGAUGCUCUUGCUAGUUUUAAUUCAGAAUAUGUAGUGUGUAACUAGCAUCGAGAAACCAGUGGUGAUGCACGACCUUUUAAGGAAAAGUGAUACAGUAUUACUUGUAUGCAUUGAUGGCGUAAAUUAUUUACACUAUCAAGUCAUUUAAGCCAAGUACAAGUGACAUUACACAGCAUUUGUAAAUUGGUAGCCUACAAAAUAUGGUAAAUGACCUAUUACUUCCAGUAAUACUGACUUGGUAGUGUAAAAAUUUUGUUACACCGUCUGUGCAUAUAAGUUUAACUCAAAGUGAUUUUAGGCUAAAUAUCAUUAUCUGGUUUAUGAAGAUGAAAUGCUGACACAGCUUAUAUUUAAUUAUACGUUCUGCUCUCGCUCUUGGAUUACGAUUCUUUUUGGUUCAUUUGCAUGCUUCAUUCUUUAGAUUUUGUAUCAACGAGUAUCAUGCGAAACUACAUUGAUUGUGUGCUUGGAAGCUUUUUCAAGAACAAAGGCUUAACUUGUGGGUACAUCUUGAUGAAAAGAAUCGAAUAUGUAGCCAGUUCUGCAUUCUACACUUUUAUCUUCCUUAUAGGUGAGCUAUAUUGACGCAUACUGGUUGAAAGCUGUUGUUGAAGUGAGAAUUAGAGACAACUAAUGUUAUUAUGACUUCGUAAAAUGUGCUUCUGUGUACACGGUUGGAUCUUAGCCAGUGCACGGUGCACGGCCACACUGCUUUCACCUUGGAAGUUCUAUACCUAUAUGUGAAAAGUUCAAAAAAUGUGUGCAUCUAUAAUGAAGUUCACUGCCUCCAACUUUUGGAUCAACCCCCACCUGUUGAGACCGUUUGACCUCGUCCCUUAUGCAUGCUUCAUUCUCCGCUGCAUCUUGAUCUGCCAUAAGUGUUUGCUUUUGUAAAGUAGGUGAGCUUUGCAAUAACUUCUAGUCCUAGUGCAACAUCUUGACCACCAACACACACAUUAUGGGUGUGUGCGCGCGCACAAGCUCUACAAAAAGAGACAUGGUGUAUUUUUCUAAUUCUGAAUUGAGAGGUUUUUGUUUCAUUGUAAUUUGAAAAUUGGUAUGUAAACAUGAAAUCCAAGUGUGUUAAGAUGCAGAAUAAUAUCAAACGGCGACAAUAUACCUAGUAUAUUCCCACAAUAUGAGGUGGGGAGGGUAAUGUGUACGCAGAUUU
This is an RNA transcript of Nicotiana tabacum (common tobacco), 2339 nucleotides long. It is a transcript of the gene named transcription factor bHLH80, with no coding region annotated. NCBI's taxonomy places the organism in Eukaryota, Viridiplantae, Streptophyta, Magnoliopsida, Solanales, Solanaceae. The record is from RefSeq and is a predicted model, not a curated record.